AGAGUUCGAUUAUGGCUCAGGAUGAACGCUAGCUACAGGCUUAACACAUGCAAGUCGAGGGGCAGCGGGAAGUCAGCUUGCUGACUUUGCCGGCGACCGGCGCACGGGUGAGUAACACGUAUCCAACCUUCCCGUUACUCUGGAAUAGCCUUUCGAAAGAAAGAUUAAUACCGGAUAGUAUCGAGAGAUUGCAUGAUUACCCGAUUAAAGAUUCAUCGGUAACGGAUGGGGAUGCGUUCCAUUAGGCAGUUGGCGGGGUAACGGCCCACCAAACCUACGAUGGAUAGGGGUUCUGAGAGGAAGGUCCCCCACAUUGGAACUGAGACACGGUCCAA
This 335-nucleotide ribosomal RNA is filed under the name uncultured bacterium. RNAcentral describes it as "bacterial SSU rRNA". It matches the Rfam family "Bacterial small subunit ribosomal RNA", at positions 8 to 334 of the family's 1533-position model. The record is from RNAcentral.